RNAcentral lists this ribosomal RNA (834 nucleotides) under uncultured fungus. RNAcentral describes it as "SSU rRNA". It matches the Rfam family "Eukaryotic small subunit ribosomal RNA", at positions 744 to 1591 of the family's 1831-position model. Lineage: Eukaryota; Fungi. The record is from RNAcentral.
CUGGGUGGCAGCUUGGAACGAGCUCGGAUCACUAGUACGGCCGCCAGUGUGCUUGGAAUUCGCCCUUUUAGCAUGGAAUAAUGGAAUAGGACGCGCGGUUCUAUUUUGUUGGUUUCUAGAGUCGCCGUAAUGAUUAAUAGGGAUAGUUGGGGGCAUUAGUAUUCAGUUGCUAGAGGUGAAAUUCUUGGAUUUACUGAAGACUAACUACUGCGAAAGCAUUUGCCAAGGAUGUUUUCAUUAAUCAAGAACGAAGGUUAGGGGAUCGAAAACGAUCAGAUACCGUUGUAGUCUUAACAGUAAACUAUGCCGACUGGGGAUAGGGCGACCUCGAUUCGAUGUGUCGCUCGGCACCCUACGAGAAAUCAAAGUCUUUGGGUUCGGGGGGGAGUAUGGUCGCAAGGCUGAAACUUAAAGGAAUUGACGGAAGGGCACCACCAGGGGUGGAGCCUGCGGCUUAAUUUGACUCAACACGGGGAAACUCACCAGGUCCAGACAUGACUAGGAUUGACAGAUUGAUAGCUCUUUCUUGAUUUUAUGGGUGGUGGUGCAUGGCCGUUCUUAGUUGGUGGAGUGAUUUGUCUGGUUAAUUCCGAUAACGAACGAGACCUUCACGUGCUAAAUAGCCGGUCGGGCCAAGGCCCGUCCCAGGCUUCUUAGACGGACUAUCGGCGUCUAGCCGAUGGAAGUUGGAGGCAAUAACAGGUCUGUGAUGCCCUUAGAUGUUCUGGGCCGCACGCGCGCUACACUGACAGGGCCAGCGAGUUUCCUACCUUGGCCGGAAGGUCUGGGUAAUCUUGUGAAACCCUGUCGUGCUGGGGAUAGGGCAUUGCAAUA